Molecule: ribosomal RNA, 301 nt
Filed under: uncultured bacterium
Lineage: Bacteria
Description: partial 16S ribosomal RNA
Rfam family: Bacterial small subunit ribosomal RNA
Source: RNAcentral
CAGUAGCCGCGGUAAAACGGAGGGUGCAAGCGUUAUCCGGAUUUAUUGGGUUUAAAGGGUCCGUAGGCGGAUCUGUAAGUCAGUGGUGAAAUCUCACAGCUUAACUGUGAAACUGCCAUUGAUACUGCAGGUCUUGAGUAAAUUUGAAGUGGCUGGAAUAAGUAGUGUAGCGGUGAAAUGCAUAGAUAUUACUUAGAACACCAAUUGCGAAGGCAGGUCACUAAGAUUUAACUGACGCUGAUGGACGAAAGCGUGGGGAGCGAACAGGAUUAGAGACCCCCGUAGUCCCUGUCUCUUAUAC